Molecule: ribosomal RNA, 293 nt
Filed under: uncultured bacterium
Lineage: Bacteria
Description: partial 16S ribosomal RNA
Source: RNAcentral
GGACUACAGGGGUUUCUAAUCCCGUUCGCUACCCACGCUUUCGUGUUUCAGUGUCAGGAGUGCGCCAGUGCACUGCCUUCGCAUUCGGUGUUCCCCAUGAUAUCAACGGAUUUCACCCCUACACCAUGAGUUCCGUGCACCUCUCGCAUCCUCGAGUCGUGCCGUUUCCCUCGCAUUUUCUGGGUUAAGCCCAAAAGCUUUGACGAGAGACUAACACAACCACCUACACACCCUUUACGCCCAGUGAUUCCGGGUAACGCUUGAGGCCUCUGUCUUACCGCGGCUGCUGGCAC